This 723-nucleotide ribosomal RNA is filed under the name Microbacterium sp. Its description in RNAcentral is "bacterial SSU rRNA". It matches the Rfam family "Bacterial small subunit ribosomal RNA", at positions 218 to 945 of the family's 1533-position model. Lineage: Bacteria; Bacillati; Actinomycetota; Actinomycetes; Micrococcales; Microbacteriaceae. The record is from RNAcentral.
UGGAGGGAUGGGGCUCGCGGCCUAUCAGGCUUUGUUUGGUGAGGUAAUGGCUCACCAAGGCGUCGACGGGUAGCCGGCCUGAGAGGGUGACCGGCCACACUGGGGACUGAGACACGGGCCCAGACUCCUACGGGAGGCAGCAGUGGGGAAUAUUGCACAAUGGGCGGAAGCCUGAUGCAGCAACGCCGCGUGAGGGAUGACGGCCUUCGGGUUGUAAACCUCUUUUAGCAGGGAAGAAGCGUGAGUGACGGUACCUGCAGAAAAAGCGCCGGCUAACUACGUGCCAGCAGCCGCGGUAAUACGUAGGGCGCAAGCGUUAUCCGGAAUUAUUGGGCGUAAAGAGCUCGUAGGCGGUCUGUCGCGUUUGCUGUGAAAUCCCGAGGCUCAACCUCGGGCCUGCAGUGGGUACGGGCAGACUAGAGUGCGGUAGGGGAGAUUGGAAUUCCUGGUGUAGCGGUGGAAUGCGCAGAUAUCAGGAGGAACACCGAUGGCGAAGGCAGAUCUCUGGGCCGUAACUGACGCUGAGGAGCGAAAGGGUGGGGAGCAAACAGGCUUAGAUACCCUGGUAGUCCACCCCGUAAACGUUGGGAACUAGUUGUGGGGUCCUUUCCACGGAUUCCGUGACGCAGCUAACGCAUUAAGUUCCCCGCCUGGGGAGUACGGCCGCAAGGCUAAAACUCAAAGGAAUUGACGGGGACCCGCACAAGCGGCGGAGCAUGCGGA